CGAUGAUACGCGAGGAACCUUACCUGGGCUAGAACGCAUUCGGAAUCAGGCCGAAAGGCCUGCGCCAGCGAUGGCCGCUUGCGAGGUGCUGCAUGGUUGUCGUCAGCUCGUGCCGUGAGGUGUCGGGUUAAGUCCCAUAACGAGCGCAACCCCUACUGCUAGUUGCCAGCGGGUCAUGCCGGGGACUCUAGCGGAACUGCCAGCGUAAGCUGCGAGGAAGGUGGGGAUGACGUCAAAUCAGCACGGCCCUUACGUCCAGGGCUACACACGUGUUACAAUGGCCGGUACAGAGGGCAGCCACCCCGCGAGGGGGCGCGAAUCCCGAAAGCCGGUCCCAGUUCGGAUCGGAGUCUGCAACCCGACUCCGUGAAGCUGGAUUCGCUAGUAAUCGCGCAUCAGCCACGGCGCGGUGAAUACGUUCCCGGGCCUU
This 430-nucleotide ribosomal RNA is filed under the name uncultured Rikenellaceae bacterium. RNAcentral describes it as "bacterial SSU rRNA". It matches the Rfam family "Bacterial small subunit ribosomal RNA", at positions 952 to 1382 of the family's 1533-position model. Lineage: Bacteria; Pseudomonadati; Bacteroidota; Bacteroidia; Bacteroidales; Rikenellaceae. The record is from RNAcentral.